This 478-nucleotide ribosomal RNA is filed under the name uncultured bacterium. Its description in RNAcentral is "partial 16S ribosomal RNA". It matches the Rfam family "Bacterial small subunit ribosomal RNA", at positions 28 to 523 of the family's 1533-position model. The record is from RNAcentral.
GACGAACGCUGGCGGCGUGCUUAACACAUGCAAGUCGGACGGUAAGGCCCUUCGGGGUACACGAGUGGCGAACGGGUGAGUAACACGUGGGUGAUCUGCCCUGCACUUCGGGAUAAGCCUGGGAAACUGGGUCUAAUACCGGAUAGGACUCCGGACUGCAUGGUCUGGGGUGGAAAGCUUUUGCGGUGUGGGAUGGGCCCGCGGCCUAUCAGCUUGUUGGUGGGGUGAUGGCCUACCAAGGCGACGACGGGUAGCCGGCGUGAGAGGGAGACCGGCCACAGUGGGAUUGGGAGGCGGCCCAGACUACUAAGGGAGGCAGCAGUGGGGAAUGUUGCACAAUGGGCGAAGUCCUGAAGCAGCGACGCCGCGUGGGGGAUGACGUCCUUCGGGUUGUAAACCUCUUUCAGCAUCGACGAAGCGAAAGUGACGGUAGGUGCAGAAGAAGGACCGGCCAACUACGUGCCAGCCGCCGCCGUAA